Molecule: long non-coding RNA, 3111 nt
Filed under: Mus musculus (house mouse)
Lineage: Eukaryota; Metazoa; Chordata; Mammalia; Rodentia; Muridae
Description: long non-coding RNA chr6:21520788-21523899
Source: RNAcentral
AGAGACUUAGGGAAUAAACAACCAAUAACUGACCCAACUUGAGACCCUCGCAUAAGCAAACACUACUCCCUGACACUAUUUAUGUUACUCUGUUAUGCUUGCAGACAGGAGCCUAGCAUAACUGUCCUCUUAGAGGCUCCAUCCAGUGGCUGAUUGAAACAGAUGUAGAGAACCAUUGCCAAACAUUAGACAGAGUUCUGGUAGUCUUAUGGAAGAGUUGGGAGGAGGACUAAGUACCCUGAAGGAGAAGGGACUCCACAGGAAGGCCAAUAGAGUCAACUAACCUCGACCCUUAGGGGCUCUCAGAAAUGAACCACCAACCAAAGAGCAUAAACAAGCUGAAUCUCGGCCUCCAUGCUCAUAUGUAGUAGAUGUGUAACUCAGUCUUCAUGUGGGUGUUUCCAUGUCUCAGCAAAAUGGUAGUGUCCUGUGAUUUUCAGGACAGCCCUUAAGGUUGUGGAAAAGAAUCCUGAAAACAUGAGCUUGAAAAUAUAUAAUUUCUCAACUAUGUAAGAUAUAAGAAUGCAAUAUGAGUUGUAUAUGGAGCUUCACCGAUCUAAAAGAACAAAGGCAGCUAUACUAUGAGCCAGCUUGUCAGAAAGAUAUGAAGGGUCUUAGUAUUUUUAAGGAUACAAAGAUAAAGAGAGUUAAGAACUGGUGAUCACAAGGUAAGAUCCACCAAGCUAAAGAUUUUUUGUUUCUUUGUCUGUUUGUUUGUUAGUUUGUUUAUGCUUAGAAAUGCAGGUCGAUACCUGAGUUCAAGGUCAGCCUGGGACAGAGGGAGUUUAUGUCCAGGCCCAGAUAUGGUAAUAAUAGUAAUGUCUGGGCAGUGUCUCAUUCAGCUUUCUUAUUGUCUUUGCUUGUGCUUGUUACCUCUUUUUACCAGUCAAGGAGCAGAGGUCAUGGAAUGUUGAUUCAUGGGUUAAUCAAAAGGGAACCUGGGGUAAUGACUGAAUUGAUACGUAAAUAAAAAACAGAGCUUUAGGUCUGCAAGAAAUGAGCUAUCCAGAGAUUUUUUUUUAAAUAGCAAGAGAAAGCUAUCUAUAGCAGAGCAGAUCACAGAGAGCAAUCUGAAAAGCUGUCUGGAGCAGAACACAGAGAGAAGCCAAUCAGGAAAGCUGUCUCGAGCAGCCAAUCAGGAAAGCCAUCUCGAGCAGAACAUAGGCCUUCAGCUUGGACCCAUGAUUUGAUUUUGAGUUGUUUGUUUUGCCACUACCAGACACCCUCUCUCUCAGAACCCAUCUCCAGGCCAAGACUGGUCAAUGACAUUCUAUCAUGCACUCAGCGCACAUGGAGAAAUUUAAUUUCAAGGCAUGUUUUAAAAUCAUUCUCUAACUAGAUUUGGGAAACCAUCACGACCCAUAAUGCUGCUCAGUUGACUAUAUCACAUGUCAGUUUAAAAGAAAUGUAUUGAUUUCAUUCCUCCCCAAAGAGUACAAAAUUUCCAUUGUAUUUAACUGACUAUUAAUAGAAGUUGAAAUUGCUCACAGGACACUCCUAGUUUCAGAAGGUAUAAUGGCAUCAAUAUCAAGAUGUGAGAACCAAUACUAAUGUCUGUUUUAUUCAGUCCACUUCAUGAUUUUACUUUUUAUUGUGAAAUGCUAAAUGUCUGUGUAUAUACUACUAGAGACACAUUUUACCAUUCCCUUCUGGUAGUAUGUGGUAUAAUUUGGAAGAAUGAGCACAUGAUUUGGAAGGCAUGCCUAAUACUAAAAUGAUGUCUCUUGUCAGUACUAUGGUGAGGAUGCAGCAAAAGGCCACUAUUUAUUGCUUUCUUGCUAUGUUUGCAUGCCUGCAAUCUAAAAAAUUUAUAACAUUCUGGAAAGGCUAGAAUUUUCCCUGAUGAUUAGAUAAAUUGACUCUAUUUGAUCUACACACACACACACACACACACACACACACACACACACACUCACCACUCAUACAAGGUGGGCUAAGAGAUUUCUGUGCCAGUGGAAGUGGAUUCUAUUUUAAUUGUCACAGACUUUUUUCUGAAAAAAAAUCUUAACUAAAGCUAUGUCAAAACAAAACUCUAACUAACGUUGCCCUCCAGCCCCUUUCUCUGUUCUGUCAAUACCACCCUUAUGGCUUUGCUCAUUUCUCUUCACUCUUACUCUGCCUACUUCAUCUGUGUCCUCUUCAAUAUUAGUUUUAUAUCCUCCCAUGUUUCUUCAUUUCUCUCUUGAGGAGCAAGCCUUCAUUUGUCUGCCCCAACUUUUUUCUCACAAUGUGACUUCUGUGAGCAGAGUUUUGUGUAAUGUGUAAAGGAAUAUACAAUUACUGCACUUUCAAGCUCAACAAUCAUUGGGAAAGAAGAGGCAGAAAGACUUUACAAGUCAGAGGAACAGGAAGUUUGCUGUGAGAUUGUUUCCCUUAGAAAUGUGAGAACCUAUGCCCUUGAAGUCUCAGCAACAUGGCUAUCUAGACUAGACCUGAACAAAGACAUUACCAAUAGGCACGCUAAUGAGGAAGAACGGAUGCUUACUAGAAGUCUCAACUCUAGACAAAGAACUAGCAGCAAUUAAGGAAUGCUGGGAGUGGAGAUGGCCUUUUCAGGGAGGUCACACAACUGGUUAUUCUAUAUCAAAAGGUCAGCCUCCAAACCAUGUACAUACAUGUAACAUGUACAUACAUGUAACUGUAUAUAGAAAGACCAUAAUGCACACAAAAUGUUGAAAAAUUAUCCUCUGCCAGCAAAAUGAGCCAAGUCAAGACAGUAGAGUAUUUUGGGUUUAUUGGGAGUAUAUAGCUGGUUUAUUAGGAAGCAGCACUAGGGUAGGUUCACUGAUUCCCCAGGAACAAGGACAGGGAAGUCACCAUGGGGAGGAAGACAGAGGGGAGGAGGAAGAGGGAAAGAUUGUGCACAGGCAGGAAGAAAAGGCAGAAAAGUGGAGAGAAAGAGAGGAAUGACCAAAAUGUCUCUGGAUGAUAUUAGGAGAAACUUCUGGGGGAGAGGAAGCAGAAUCCCAGAACUGGAAAAUUCAGGGUAAAGAGCAGAGGAUGCCCAUUAUGGACUGAGGGAUGCUGGGAGAUGCCUGGAGGUCAUCUCUAUUUUGGUAUGUUAGGUAUGCACCUCAGCCCCUUGGCCAGGGUCUGAAACCCAACACAGCU